RNAcentral lists this ribosomal RNA (460 nucleotides) under uncultured bacterium. Its description in RNAcentral is "partial 16S ribosomal RNA". It matches the Rfam family "Bacterial small subunit ribosomal RNA", at positions 338 to 795 of the family's 1533-position model. The record is from RNAcentral.
CCUACGGGUGGCAGCAGUGAGGAAUAUUGGUCAAUGGGCGGAAGCCUGAACCAGCCAAGUAGCGUGCAGGAUGACGGCCCUACGGGUUGUAAACUGCUUUUAUACGGGAAUAACGCGCCUUACGUGUAGGGCUUUGCAUGUACCGUAUGAAUAAGGACCGGCUAAUUCCGUGCCAGCAGCCGCGGUAAUACGGAGGGUCCGGGCGUUAUCCGAAUUUAUUGGGUUGAAAGGGAACGUAGGCGGCAUGUCAAGCGUGCUGUGAAAUGUCCGGGCUCAACCCGGGCCUUGCAGCGCGAACUGGGGUGCUUGAGUCCGCGGAAGGCAGGCGGAAUUCGUAGUGUAGCGGUGAAAUGCUUAGAUAUGACGAAGAACCCCGAUUGCGAAGGCAGCUUGCUGCAGCGGAACUGACGCUGAUGCUCGAAAGCGGGGGUAGCGAACAGGAUUAGAUACCCUUGUAGUC